CCUACGGGUGGCUGCAGUGGGGAAUUUUCCGCAAUGGGCGAAAGCCUGACGGAGCAAUACCGCGUGAGGGAGGAAGGCUUUUGGGUUGUAAACCUCUUUUCUCAAGGAAGAAGCAAGUGACGGUACUUGAGGAAUCAGCAUCGGCUAACUCCGUGCCAGCAGCCGCGGUAAUACGGAGGAUGCAAGCGUUAUCCGGAAUCAUUGGGCGUAAAGCGUCCGCAGGUGGCGUAUCAAGUCUGCUGUCAAAGACUAGAGCUCAACUCUGGAAAGGCAGU
RNAcentral lists this ribosomal RNA (275 nucleotides) under uncultured bacterium. RNAcentral's name for it is "partial 16S ribosomal RNA". It matches the Rfam family "Bacterial small subunit ribosomal RNA", at positions 338 to 627 of the family's 1533-position model. The record is from RNAcentral.